Molecule: ribosomal RNA, 271 nt
Filed under: uncultured bacterium
Lineage: Bacteria
Description: partial 16S ribosomal RNA
Source: RNAcentral
CUGCUGCCUCCCGUAGGAGUCUGGUCCGUGUCUCAGUACCAGUGUGGGGGACCUUCCUCUCAGAACCCCUAUCCAUCGUUGUCUUGGUGGGCCGUUACCCCGCCAACUAACUAAUGGAACGCAUCCCCAUCCCAUACCGAAAUUCUUUAAUAAUCCCAUCAUGCGGUAGGACUAUAACAUCGGGUAUUAAUCUUUCUUUCGAAAGGCUAUCCCCGAGUAUGAGGCAGGUUGGAUACGUGUUACUCACCCGUGCGCCGGUCGCCAUCAAAAG